This 292-nucleotide ribosomal RNA is filed under the name uncultured bacterium. RNAcentral describes it as "partial 16S ribosomal RNA". It matches the Rfam family "Bacterial small subunit ribosomal RNA", at positions 505 to 796 of the family's 1533-position model. The record is from RNAcentral.
GUGUCAGCAGCCGCGGUAAGACAGAGGGUGCAAACGUUGUUCGGAAUUACUGGGCGUAAAGCGUGUGUAGGCGGUCACGUAAGUCGGAUGUGAAAGCCCUGGGCUCAACCCAGGAAGUGCACUCGAUACUGCGUGGCUUGAGUACUGGAGAGGUUGGUGGAAUUCUCGGUGUAGAGGUGAAAUUCGUAGAUAUCGAGAGGAACACCGGUGGCGAAGGCGGCCAACUGGACAGAUACUGACGCUGAAACACGAAAGCGUGGGGAGCAAACAGGAUUAGAUACCCCCGUAGUCC